CGGUGGAAAGAAACGAUGCAAAAUGCGUCUGUAAGUAAAAAAAGGAAAGAAAUUUGCAGACUGAGUUAAAGUGUCUGGCAGCUCAGUGGCCACGGCUUAAAAAGUCUGCACUUGAAGAGUACAAGGUCAGGAUGGUAGGGGUUGGCUGUGAUGAUGACGAAGAAGAGAACACAGAUGUACUAAACAAACAGUGCAAAGGAAUGCUCAGUCUGUUGUUAUCGGAUUCUGAAACGAUACAACCUCUUCACAGAUGCUUAUCAUAUUCUUGGCUGGGGAUACAGGUACCUCCUUACUCUGCCUGUGGGAGCAUGUGAGAGAAGUUUCUCUGUUCUCAAACACAUAAAAAGCAGAAUAAGAAGCACACAGUCGCAAGAACAUCUGGAAGCAUUCAUGCUUAUGACUACAGAGAAAGACAUCCUCAUGUCCCUUGACAAUGACUUGGUCAUAGACAGAGUUGCAGAAAAAAGCGACCUGUUGAAGAAAAUACUUAUCCUCCAACAUUGAGUAAGAUAACUGUUUUGUAUUGGUUCAGCCAGAGGGACUGCAGUAUGUUGAGACCUCCAUUUCUAUUUUAACCCUAAACAGUGAAGAAGGUGCAGCAGCGCCUCUUCUUUCUCAGGAGACUGAAGAGAUUCGGCAUGAGUCCCCGCAUCCUCAGGACCUUCUAUCGCUGUGCCAUUGAGAGCAUCCUCACUGGAUGCAUCACCACCUGGUACGGCAACAGCACCGCCUACAACCGCAAAGCUCUCCAGAGAGUGGUGCGGUGUGCUGAAAGAAUAAUUGGAGGUGAGCUUCCCUCCCUCCAGGACAUCUACAGGAAGCGGUGCCUGAGGAAAGCGGGGAG
Molecule: long non-coding RNA, 844 nt
Organism: Oreochromis aureus
Lineage: Eukaryota; Metazoa; Chordata; Actinopteri; Cichliformes; Cichlidae
Exons: 4
Source: RefSeq, a predicted model, not a curated record